Molecule: unclassified non-coding RNA, 315 nt
Gene: 7SK
Rfam family: 7SK RNA
About the family: 7SK was discovered as an abundant small nuclear RNA in the mid-70s but a possible function has only recently been suggested.
Source: Ensembl
GGAUAUGGGGGUAAUUUGAUUAUGGCAUCUGUCGUCCCACUGACUGCCAGAGUUGAGAGCUCGCCUGGCUGGCUAAUGGGUGUCCUCUUCCUCCCUCACCAUAUGCAUUCCCCAUCCUUGCUCAAGCUGCAAGCUCAAAGAGGACAAUGUUCCCAGAGAGAGGAAGGCCACAACAACCAGAUGUGUUCCCCUGCUGAAACUUCCAAACAAGUUCUCAAGGCCCACAGCGACAUUAUUCACAACACCCAUAAGGUAGAAGUGACCCAACUGAGCAGUGAACAAAAUGUGGUAAAUACACACAACAGAGUACGACUC